This 154-nucleotide unclassified non-coding RNA is filed under the name soil metagenome. RNAcentral's name for it is "partial internal transcribed spacer 1". The record is from RNAcentral.
CAAGAAGAGACCCUAACCGGUCCUCUCAACCCUGCCCAUCGUACCUUUUUUUGUUGCUUCCCCUCGGCGGUGCUCGCGGGCCCGCCGGCGGGAAGACCAAACAAACCCUUUGCAAACAAGCAUAUCGAAAUCUCUGAUCAAACAUGAAUUGUCA